CCACAAAGCAAAAACAAUGCAGACAUCUUACCCUUUCAACUCUCUCUCGAUUUCUUUUCUUUGCACAGACAACACACCAUCUUUUUUUUUUGUCUGCUCUCUCCCCCACUCGAUCUCUAUAAGGUAAUCACCACCAAAUCCAUUCAACACUCAUAUUCCCCACACACCACAGCCUCUCUAUCCCUCCCUCUGACUACAUGCCGGCGGCCGGAAUAACCGGCGGAGCCAUGCUCCGGUCAUCUUGUUCUCCGGGGUUCAGUUCACCGACAAACACCCACCUUCUCCCUUCUGACUGACGGACGGCUGACCACCGCCACCACAGCCGUCUGGUGGCGGCGUGGUGACAAGACAGAGAGUGGCGUAAGAGGGAGAGAGCGGCGGAGAUUAGGAGCAGCGCCGCCGUCCACGGCAGCGGCGGUCGGCGUCUUGGUCCGGCGGUCUGCGUCAAGGUCCGGCGGUCUUUGUCAUUAUCCGACGGGUUUUUGUUCGGAAGUCCCGGUCCGGGUCAGAUCGAUUACAGGUGACCGACUCAGCUCCGGAGACGGCUGUGGAGAGUGAUGGUGAUUAUGUUCAGGAUUUAGUUACGUUCGGUUCGGGAGUUCCGGGUCAGAUUUAACGGCUCUCGGUUCGGUCAACGAUGGUCAACGGGUCAGUUGGGUUCGGGUCAGCUGGUCAACGUUCAAGGAGGGUCAAGUCGACAGGAUUUCGGGUUCGGUUGGCUCAGAUUUGGUGUUCGAGUCAACCGAGUCAACCCGGUCAAACCUGGUAAACUCAGCGAGUCAACUCGGUCAACCCGGUUGACUCGGUCAACCCGGUCAACUCAGUCAACGAAAGCGGCACGAAAGACUUGAUAAUAGCGAAUGUGAGUUUCAGAAACACGGUCACUAGAGAAUGCUACUGCGCAGGCAGGAAAGCGGUUACUGUCAGAUGGAAGUUUAUGAAGCAAGAGAGACGUUUGUUCUCUUGUAUUGUUUAAUGUACUUUGAUUGAUGCAGAUAUUGUGCUGGACAACUGUGCGAUUUGUAGAAAUCAUAUUAUGGAUCUAUGUAUCGAGUGUCAAGCUAAUCAGGCUAGCUCUACUAGCGAAGAGUGUACUGUUGCUUGGGGUAUGCCGGUAUCUUUUUGUUCACUGUGAUAAUGAUCCUGCACCAUGGACAAGCUUGCGUAAGUCCAGCUGAUACCAACGCAGAAGAAACACUAAACACCUUGAAGUAUGCCAAUCGAGCUCGUAACAUACCAAACAAAGCUAUUGUUAAUCGUGAUCCAGUCACAGCUCAAAUGCAAAGAAAGACAAGUUACUGCUUAAAAUUGAAUCUGCACGUGGUGGCAAACCAUGGGAUGAGAUAGACUGUGACUCGAAUAAGGUUCUUGGCUAUUAUCAAUCGAAAAACCGGCCUCGAGAAUCACGUUCUAGAGUGUUGAAGCUCGAUUUAGAAUCCGUUAGAAUCCAUUUGUGUGGCCACGUGACCUUUGUUAAGUGCGGUAUUGGCGCCGAAAUGAUGAUGGGAGUUAUGUUGGACUCUUUUGCUCUAGGGAGCAUGAGAACUGUGGCCCACAACCAGGAUACGUGCGCGCUCAUAUUGAGACUGUAAAGCAAGCUAAACACAGCAUGCUUGGAAGUCUAUAAAUACAACAUCAAUCUCAACACUCUACAAACACUCAACUGAGACGAAUUAAACCUUCAAAUUAAUAUCAAUACUCUUUGCAUCUGGAUCUUGCGUUGUUUCUCGGCUCUUCACAUCAAGGUUUUACAUUUUUUGUCGGCUUUUUACAUCUGGCUCUUGCAUUGUUAUUUGCUUUCUGCAUUCCUCUAGAUUUUGGAUCUGUCUUUUAUGGCUACUUUGAAAUCAAAGUCGAUGCUUUCUGCCACUUGUUUUGGAAUUUGGAACGGCCAUUGAAUCUCCUUUGAUUUCCAGAUGUCAAUCGGAUUGCUUUUUUUUUUUUGUUGUUGAAACCGAUUUGGGAAUUGAGUUGCAUGACAGAUCUUUGUUCUUGUUGUCGUUUUGGCUAUUGACUUUUUGAUUUCCGAAUAGUUUAGCUAUUAUGAAUUAAUUUGUUUACGAGCUUUAACUUUAGUCCGGAUAGUUUAGCUAUUAUGCAUUAAUUUGUUUUUGAGCUUCAACUUGAACUAGAGUGAUUAAUAAAGUUGGUUUUAUUAGUUCUUUUGCUGGAGCAUUAAGCUUUGGAAAAAAAUCACAGGUCAAACAAUGCUAAUUAACCUUAUAUAAAUUAGUUUGUAAAAUAAAAUCAAGUUAUAAAGCUUCUCACCAAAAGCUGUUGUUCAAUUUUAAUCUAUUUAAAAGAAAUAGUGUAAAAACGUUUUUUAUUACAUUCUCUAAACUAUUUUAAAAAUAUAUUUAAAAAUAUGUGGUUACAACAAAAGUAAAGUAAAACAAAACACUUCUAAAAAAAUAUAAAAAAUAAAAAAUCUAUAUCUAAAAAACCGAAAACCUAUCUAUUAAAAAAUUCAUUAAAACUUGUUAAUGAAGACAUCUUUAGAGAUAAUUAAAAAAACUUUUAAUAGAAUAUCAUAAUAUAACGGAAUGUUUUCUUUUUAAUUUUAGUCUAUAAUUUAUAUAAACCUAAAAUAGCAAUACCAGAUUUUCUUUAGUUAAUAUUGAAUUAGGUUAAAUCCAAUGAGAUCAUGAGAGAGACAAAACAAAUUAUAAAAAACUUACUUAAAGACAAGGGAAAUCACCCAUUUUGUUAAAUACUUUUCAAAUCACUCAUUUUAGUAAAUAAUUUUUCUACAACACCCGUUAAGAAAAAAACUCCUUUAUUCUUUCCUAUGCAUAUAUUUGUGAAAAGAGCCUAUUUUUCAUUUCAUUAAAUACAUCUACACUUUAUUCAUGUUGUAUACAUAAUUAUGGUUUUGGUUUUAAAUAUUGUUUUUUUUUGCUUUUAUUAUUUAAAAAAUAAAUUCAGUUACAAUUAAAAAGUCGGUAUCAAAUGACUACAUGAAAUGAUGAACAACCGGGAGUCUCUGGAAGGCCGAAAGUAUUUCAAAAAUGCAAAACGUUUUGACUCAUAUAAUCCAAUUAUCAUGCAAUUUAAUAUAUGGGCUUACCGCUCAUACGGGCCUAUCCUCAGGCACAAAAGGUGUUGUCCGGUUUAUCACCGGCCCCAUUCUUGCAAAUAUAAUGCUUAUAUUCCACGUCGGGGAAGUCCUCCACCCUCUUCAUAACGAGUUUGUUUUGGCGAGCCAUACCGGUAACCCCCCACUUUGCAAACGAACCCGUAGUUUUGACGGUCAAAUCAAUUUGACCCUCCUCGUUCAUGUGACUGGAAAAACUCUUCAUAAAAUUAUCAAAAUUAAAUUUCUUGUUUUUCCUGAAAAAAAUACAAAUUCAAGUUAUUUCAAAGUUUGC
Molecule: long non-coding RNA, 3368 nt
Filed under: Helianthus annuus (common sunflower)
Lineage: Eukaryota; Viridiplantae; Streptophyta; Magnoliopsida; Asterales; Asteraceae
Description: hypothetical non coding rna
Source: RNAcentral